Molecule: long non-coding RNA, 1148 nt
Filed under: Homo sapiens (human)
Lineage: Eukaryota; Metazoa; Chordata; Mammalia; Primates; Hominidae
Description: HSALNT0194290
Source: RNAcentral
AAAGGACAAAAAUUACCAUUGAACUUUGAAGCUAGGCCUAAAGCAAAGAAUUAAAGAGUCUCUGAUUACAUAUUUCACUAAGGAUUCUAGAUGAGACACUUAGAACUCCUUAUGAAAUAUGCAAUAUUUCUUUCUGCUAUCUCUCUGUUGUCUUCUCUGACCUCUGUCAACAGAGGCUUGGCUCAGGCCUAUUCACCAUAGGCCUUGUUCUUGCCAAUCCUGCUUCAUUGGCUCAAGAGAUGGACACAAAGGGAUUGAUGAUGUCAAGACUGAAGAGCUCCGUGUGGUCUGGCCACAUCUUGAUUAAUCAAGAUGGCAGAGGCAAAGCAGCUGAAAAGAUCAUCCAUACACUGCUCCUACUGGCCCUUGGGAGCCAUGGUGACUGCCCUACCUUGUCCUGCUUGAGUCUGCCGAUCUCAAAUGCUCUGUAAGGCAACUGCGGCAGCUCCACCGGUGGAGGGAAAGACUAAGGGAGUCCUCCAGCAACUGUUCUGGGCAAGGAGCGGCCCAGAAAGCCCACGGUGAGCCUCAGAGGUGCAGAGGGGAGGCCUGAGGACAAGUUUCUUUGCCUCCCGGGACCCUGGCUGCUGCUCCUAACCCUGUGUGAACAAAUGCUUCCACAUGGCAAGAGCUCCCUAGGUAGCGACAUGGGCAGAAAACCACCCAGAAGUCUCCCCUUUAAAAAAAAAUGGUGGUGAAAUAUACACAACACAAAAUGUACCAUCUUCUCCUUCCAGUUCAGUGGCAUUCAGCACAUUGCCAUGGCUGUGCAACCAUCACCAACCCCCGAUCUCCAGAACCUUUUCAUUUUCCCUAUGGAUUCUCUGUACCCAUCAAACAUGAACUCCCCAUUCCCCUCCCCCAAGCCCCUGGUAGCCAUCCUCCUGAGGCAUCCUGACUACUCCGGGUGCCGUCAGAUACAUGGUAAAGUAUUUGUCCUUCUGUGUCUGGCUUCUUUCAGUUAACAUAAUGCCCUUCUCACCACUUGAAGGCCACUAUUUUCUCUGUUUAGGACUACUUCAGUAGCCCUUUAACUAUUCACCACACUACUGCUCUUUUCCCUAUAAUCUAUUUUCAACAGAGCAGCUAAAGUGAUUAUUUUAAAAUGUCAGAUCAUAUCACACUCUCCCUAUAAACCUCUAAUAGCU